CUGUAUGAGUUAAAAUGUGGAUGAUUCGGGGUCCUCCGAGGGCACCCGACAGACUUCUUGAGUCAUUUGGAACUCGUGCACGCCGAUCAGAAGUCUUUGAGACAAUGAUGGGUGCAUGUGGGCCAAUUAAUUCAGAAGGUUCUGCCACAGAGUGGUAUCAGAGCUCAUACAUGGAUCUUCUACAACAUUACUAGUGAAAAACUUCAAAAGGAUUUUACAAAUUAAAGUUUUGAGGAUAACAACUUUAAAUGCUCCUUAACUUUU
Molecule: long non-coding RNA, 264 nt
Filed under: Sorghum bicolor (sorghum)
Lineage: Eukaryota; Viridiplantae; Streptophyta; Magnoliopsida; Poales; Poaceae
Description: long non-coding RNA (SBIC_LNC010681)
Source: RNAcentral